ACACCAUGAGAAAGCGACUUCAGAGGUGGUAUUCUGGCUGUGGCACCUGCUCCUGGAGGAUCAGCUGUCCCAGGACAUGCUGGGGCCAGACAGGGCAGGGGCGGUGGCGGCUGAAUGAGUCUGGCCUGAGAUUCAAUCGGGUGACCUGGGCACAGUUGAGUUUUAUCAGGUAUCUGUUAAGCACCUACUCCUUGUCAGCAUUGUGGUCUGUGCUAAAAAAGCACUGAAGAAUGAGACUUGAUCAAACCCUUCCUGAAGCUUACUGGAGAAGAAAGAUUCAACUGACAAGCCUGUGAGUCCUAAAAGAAGAAAUGCAGAUUGCUAAGGCAUCAAGGAUUGGGGACUUCACUGAAUCUUGGGGGGGUCAAGAAGGGGUCCCUAGAAAGGUGAUGCUCUUGCAGAGACUUGAUGCACGUAAAAGGAGCUUGGGACUUUGGAAGUGGUUGUAAACAUCAGUUCUUGCGCCCUCUGCCUGGGAUCGUUUUCUCACCAACACCUGCUGGCUUUGAAUGAAACUCCCUCCCCCUUUAGGGAACUUAUGCAGCUGAAGAGAAAUGGAUGCUGGGAACUGCUUCCAGGGACCUGGAAAUUGAUGAAGACACACACAAGGUAACGGACACGGGGCCAGCUGCGACAUUUUCUGUGUGCCUUAAUGAGGAGUGUUGGGGCUGUGCUACUAAGAGCUGAACUCUUGGCCCAGCUCGCCCGGCUGAAGGAGAAGGGGGAGAAGCUGGCAGACUGCGGCGCUUUGUGAGGAGAAAACAAAUGGGCCUGUAACUUGAUCGAGGUGGCGAGGGGAGGCGGCCAGGGCUCUAGGGAUGAAGAAUAGCUUCUCAGAGUAUUGUCAGGGGGAGGAGGCAGCCAGCAGAGCUGACUGCGGGGCUGGCGCGUGGUCUGCCAGCUUGAGCAUCCUUGGGCUGCCAUGCCCACCUGUCUGGAGCACCUUCUAUGGGUCAGGGACAUUUGCAGAGGGUAGGAGGUAGUCCUUGUGGCAACCGCACCCGGUGAGGAGUAUUUCUACCCCUGUUUUCUAGAUGAGACACCUGAGGCUCAGAGAAGUGAAGUAGCUUGCCUGAGGCCACACAGCCAGUCAGUGAUGAAGGCAGGGCUUAUAUCCGGCUCUGUAUGUCUUUAGAGUGACAUUUCUUCCACUGUCUCUUGCUGCCUGACAAUUUUGGGGGGCAAUGGUUCCUUCUGAAUUUUCUACAUGUAAUAAUGACAGUAAGAAUCCCUUUCAAGGGAUAUAUUUCACAAAGAGUCCUCUUGCAAAUGCCAUUUCACAGCGUCUUUAUAGUGUUUUCCCUUUGAGGUGAAAUGUUAUCCUCAAAUUUGAGCUGAGGACAUAGAAACACAGCCAGGCGGGCAGCUCCCCUAAAUGCCACUCAGCAAGGAGCUGAGACUGGCGAGGCCAAAUGGCAGGCACUUGCUACCAUUGUAUGGAGACCCAGGUGGGCUCCUCAGGUGUUCGACGAGACCCAGAGUAUCUCCCACUCCUUCAAAUGAGAAGCCCAAGAACAAACAGUUUGUUUUUCUAACACGCUCAGAGCCUCUGCUUUGUUUCUAACCUUUGAUAAAGCCAGCAGCCCAAAUCCCCUUUCCUGUGCCCCUCCUCCCGAGAAAGGGAUGGCCAGCCAUGUGUAUUUUUCACUGGGGCUCUCACAAAGAAUGCUGCAUAUAAUAUGAAACAUGUGUCAUGGUGUUUGCUGGAGGGCCCCACCCCAUGCCCUUCCCUGCGCUGUGGGAGCCUCCGGUGUGGGGGGAUGGGAGGGGGUCAGAGCCCCAGACACCUAGAGCAUUUCUCCCGAACCGGAACUGCCCCCACCUGCAGGCAGAGCUGGUACCCAGCUCCAUCAUCCAUCUCAUCUCACUUCCCCAUUGGAGACCUUGUCACCCCACGUUUGCGUUUCUGGCAAUGUGUUGUGAGCCCGGCCUCAAACUCAGAUGUGUGAAUUUCAGCUGGAAAGGUACAUGGGCUGCGCUCAAUAACAUCUGUGGGGUAAAUUAUAGGGUGAAUCGGGGAUGAACUGCUCUUCCUCCCAUCUCCCGGAAGUUGGCGCGCUGUGAUAUUGCUGAAGGAAAGAAUAAGUGCUCUGUGAUGGGGCUGUUCACCUCGACGUGUUUCUAGAGAAUUCUGAAGCCAGAGGAAGACCGUCACUAUUUUUGCCAUUCCCUUCUUAGGAGGCAGGAUUGUUGGGAGCCCUGGUCCUUGAACCGGGGGUAGGUGUUAGAAUCACCUGUAGGCUCGUGAUAGAUGGCUAGCCCCACCCCUCAGGGUGUAUUUUUGCAUCUUUAACACGUUCCUGGUGGAUGAGACAGUGCUGGUUCAGGGGCGUGGGAGCUCAGAUGGUCUUUUUCAAGUGGGGUGCGGAUGGAGCCCAAGAGAAAAAAGAAACAGAAGAGAGAGUGACUGUGUUGUGGUGUCGUGUCUGAUGGUGUCUCAAGGGCACAGGGAUCAGCAUAGACCAGAGCCACCAGGACGGGCCUCCUGGAUGUGUGGUGGUGAAGGACACAAGGGAUUUGGAAAGUAAAAGGAAGGAGAGCUUUGGGCGAAGGCCGGUGCGGAGGCAGCGCUGAGAUGAGACCAGCCUGCAGAGGGAGGGGGACGAAAACAACCUUCCUCAUCAGGGUUGCCUGGAGUUUACACUCUCCAAACCCCCUGCACAGAGCCCAGACAGCCUGGCAGGGCAGGGGUCACCUUCCCAUCUCCAAGGAGGAAACCAGCACAGGGGGUCAUGGGAAUUGAGGAAGGAGGGCCCAGGGCCACAAGCUUUGGCAGCUUAUUCUCUUACAACGGGUUGACCUUUCCCCUGUUUGAAAGCUCUUUGCAGCUGCUUUCCCCAGGGUGAGCAAUGCAGUCUAAGCCUUGGCAGGAAUCAUGGUUUCUCUCACCUGAUUUUUUUUCUUGUUCCAGUUUGCACUUACAAAUGUCAUCAACACAGAAACCACUGUUGCCCUUCUUAUGCCAUUGGCUGGUGACUGUCUCCUCUUCCUGGUUCCUGAGACCUAUGAGGGUCACCCCAUAGCCCUGGAGAAGAGGAGGGAAUGGAGAAAUCUGGACUGAAAACUCACCCUGUAUCAGCACCACGUUUGGCAUGUUUAUACAGGAGAUCUCACUUAGCCUACAGAGCCCAGGGCAUGUAGAGACAAGGUCGCUGAAGCUCAUGCUGAGGGUAAAGCUCAGGCUCAAGGUUAAACCCCUAGCUUGAGCUCUUGUUGUUAGCUGGUGGAGCUGAUAUCCAACCUCCAAUCUGUUUGAGUUCAGAUGAGCCAAAUAAAUAGCUGGUUAUAAAAGGCCAGAAACUGGAGCCUUACCUGAUAUCAGUGCACACUGGGAAAAGGUUUCCAGAACACCCUGUGCUGUUUUUGCAGGGUCACACCUUUGCACAUGCUGGCCUCCUUUCCAAACUUUCCAGCCUCUCCUGCACUCAAGCUCCCCUUCAUCCUUCAAGCAGCCCCAUGAUGCCUCUGAGGUCCCCCACCUGCAGAGGUGCCUCUCUUCCAAGUUCCCCUUUCUUGUAUUUCUCCUUAACAUGGAAUUUAGCACCAUCUAUCAUAAUGGGUGUUUUCUUGGGCUUUUUUUCAACUGACUCUAAACUCAACUGCAUAUGUCUUUUUGAAUUACAGUUUUCUCUGGAUAUACGCCCUGAAGUGAGAUUGCUGGAUCAUGUGGCAAAUCUAUUUUUAGUUUUUUGAGUAUUCUCCAUACUGUUUUCCAUAGUGGCUGUACCAGUUUACAUUUCCACCAGCAGUGUAGGAGGGUUCCCUUUUCUCCACAUCCUGUCCAGCAUUUAUUAUUUGUAGAUUUUUAAAAUGGUGGCUAUUCCGACUGGAGUGAGGUGGUACCUCAUUAUAGUUUUGAUUUGCAUUUCUCUAAUAAUUAGUGAGGGGGUUCCCAUCGUGGCUCAGUGGAAACAAAACUGGCUAGUAUCCAAGAGGAUGCAAAUUUGAUCCCUGUCCCCUUUCAGUGGAUUAAGGAUCUGGCGUUGCUGUGAGCUGCAGUGAAGUUUGCAGAUGCAGCUCAGAUGUGGCAUUGUGGCUGUGGCUGUGGCUGUGGCGUAGGCUAGCAGCUGCAGCUCCGAUUUGACCCCUAGCCUAGGAACUUCCAAAUACCAUGGGUGUGGCCCUAAAAAGACAAAAAUAAUUAGUGAUGUUGAGCAUCGCUUCAUGUGCCUAUUGGCCAUCUGUAUGUCUUCUUUGGAGAAAUGUCUAUUUAGGUCUUUUUGCCCAUUUUUUGAUUGGGUUGUUUUUUUGGUGUUGAGUUGUAUGAGCUGUUUGUAUAUUUUGGAAAUUAAGCCCUUGUGAGUUACAUUAUUUUGCAAAUACUUUCUCCAAGUCUGUAGGUUGUUUUCUUCAUUUUGUUUAUAGUUUCCUUUGCUGUAUGAAAGCUUAUAAAUUUGAUUAUGUCUCAUUUGUUUGUAUUUGAUUUUAUUUCUAUUGCCUUGGGAAACUGACCUAAGAAAACAUUGCUACGAUUUAUGUCAGGAAAUGUUUUGCUUAUGUUCUCUUCUAGGAGUUUUAUCGUGUCAUGUCUUAUAUUUAAGUCUUUAGGCCAUUUUGAGUUUAUUUUUGUGUACAUUGUGAGGGUGUGUUCUAACUUCAUUGAUUUACGUGCAGCUGUCCAACUUUCCCAAUACCACUUGCUGAAGAGACCCUUUUUUCCAUUGUAUAUUCCUGCCUCCUUUGUUGAAGAUUAAUUGACUGUAGGUGUGUGGGUUUAUUUCUGGGCUAUUUUGUUUCAUUGAUCCAUAUGACUCUUUCUGUGCCAAUACCGUGCUGUUUUGAUUACUGUAGCUUUAAAGUAUUGUCUGAAGUCUGGAAAGGUUAUGCUUCCUGCUUUCUUCUUGUUCCUCAAGAUUGCUUUGGCAAUUCUAGGUCUUUUAUGGUUCCAUAUAACUUUUAGGAUCAUUCUAGUUCAAUGAAAAAUGUCAUGGGUAAUUUGAUAGGGAUUGCAUUAACUCUGUAGUUUGCUUUGGGUAGUAUGUCAACUGCCCAGAUUUUCUAUUUAGAAUUUGUGUUACUCUCUGAUGAUCAACCCUGGAGACUGCUAACCACCUGCCUGAUACCCAUUCUCUUCAUCUUGCAUACUGAUUUUAGUGAAUUGGAGAGUGCAAGAUGCCCAGUUAAAAAGGACAUUUCCCAGCCUCCUUAGAAGCAAGGGGUGGCCCUGUGACUAGGUAUUGGCCAAAUGAGAUAGAAGAUGAAGUUUUGGGGUGGGAUGUGGGGAAAGCCCCUUAAAAAGGGAAGGGGAUAUGGAAGACAUAGGUCUUUUUAAAAAAUUUUCCUUUUAGAAUGGAGCAUGAUGAUAAUAGAAUUGCAGAAGCAAUCUCGACCAUGAGAGAACUUUGAGGGUAGAUGUAUGCUGAGGAUGGAGGAGCAGAAAGAUGGAAGGCGCUGGGGUUCUUAAAGGCCAUAGAUCCUAAGUUGCCUUCUUCUGGACCUCUUCCAUGAGAAAAAAAUAGACUUCUAUUUUUGUUUAAGUCAUUCUUAUCAGUUUCUGAUUAUUUAUGUGAAGAUGCAGGAAGGAAAGUAAGGUGUCAUCAGUUCUGGGCCUGGUGGGCUAGGAUGUUUUCAGAAAUAGAGUCCAGAAAGCUGCCAGAGGUAGUGCCUGCCUGAAUGGGGGUGCCUGUGGGCCAGAGGGCAGCUCGUGGCUGUGGGGUCCUGGUUCUCUCACCAGCACCACCUCCCACCCAGCUCCACCGAGUAGGAACAAGGCAGGACUUGGAGACUGGGGAGGGUGGGAGUCGGGGGUGGUCACAGCCACCUUGGGCUCAUCUCAGCAUUGCAUUUGGGGACUUUGAAUGGACUUCAGAGACCCAGAGUCUCUGUCAGACCUGAGGGUUGUCUACCCAGCAGCCACUUCUGUGAUGGUUUUGUUGUCAAAACACUGAUUUUGCUGCUCAAUUUGGUAACUCCUUUUCCUUUUUCCUGAUGUGUUUAGAAAAGGGACGUAUGAUCCUUCGUCAUGUCCCUGCCCACCCCCUUAUGAAAUACAAGGGGCUUGUCUGAGAAAGUUCUCCAUACUCUCUUCCUAAGAAGCAGCUCAAGACAAACCCUGAUCGUCUCUUGCCUUUGGGCAUUACUGAGUGAAUGUGUGAAGUUUGGAGUCACAGGAGUUCUCUUAACACCAUUAGAAAAAAAAAUCAGGAGUUCCCGUCGUGGCGCAGUGGUUAACGAAUCCGACUAGGAACCAUGAGGUUGCGGGUUCGGUCCCUGCCCUUGCUCAGUGGGUUAACGAUCCACCAUUGCCGUGAGCUGUGGUGUAGGUCGCAGACGCGGCUCAGAUCCUGCGUUGCUGUGGCUCUGGUGUAGGCUGGUGGCUACAGCUCCGAUUCAACCCCUAGCCCGGGAACCUCCAUAUGCCGCAGGAGCGGCCCGAGAAAUAGCAAAAAGCCAAAAAAAAAAAAAAAAAAAA
This 6412-nucleotide long non-coding RNA is filed under the name Sus scrofa (pig). Its description in RNAcentral is "lncRNA (ENSSSCG00040075074.1)". The record is from RNAcentral. Lineage: Eukaryota; Metazoa; Chordata; Mammalia; Artiodactyla; Suidae.